UACAGAGGGUGCGAGCGUUAAUCGGAAUUACUGGGCGUAAAGCGUGCGUAGACGGUUACGUAAGUCGGGUGUGAAAGCCCCGGGCUCAACCUGGGAAUUGCAUUCGAGACUGUGUAGCUAGGGUGCGGAAGAGGGAAGCGGAAUUUCCGGUGUAGCGGUGAAAUGCGUAGAUAUCGGAAGGAACAUCAGUGGCGAAAGCGGCUUCCUGGUCCAGCACCCGACGUUCAGGCACGAAAGCGUGGGAGCAA
This 248-nucleotide ribosomal RNA is filed under the name uncultured bacterium. RNAcentral's name for it is "partial 16S ribosomal RNA". It matches the Rfam family "Bacterial small subunit ribosomal RNA", at positions 524 to 771 of the family's 1533-position model. The record is from RNAcentral.